This is a long non-coding RNA of Chiroxiphia lanceolata (lance-tailed manakin), 1007 nucleotides long. RefSeq lists it as uncharacterized. The transcript has 5 exons. The record is from RefSeq and is a predicted model, not a curated record. NCBI's taxonomy places the organism in Eukaryota, Metazoa, Chordata, Aves, Passeriformes, Pipridae.
UGGAAUUGCACUGGAGACAGGGAUUCACGUCAGCCUGGGAUCAGCCCUGUGUUCUUGGCACCAACCAGGAGCUUCCCAGCACCUUGAGGAGUGGCGUGGCGUGGGCUGGGAACUGUGAGUGCUGGAGUAACCUGCAGAUGCCCACAAGGUCUCCCCAGAUGCACCUACAGGGAUGGGAUGAGCAGGAAAGUGAUGACAGGGAAGAAACCAGGACCAAAAGAAAGCCCAAAUAUGAGUUUCCAAUGUUUUCCUGGCUUCAGGUGUGAUUCUCCACUUCAAUGAACCCUCUGGGUUGGGUUAUGGAGGGAGAAGGAUUGACCACCUUCACCUGUGGUUUCCAGAAGAAGAGAAGGGAGCAGCCAGUUCUCCUCUCCAAAAACAGGCCCUGGGAGCUCAAUAGAUUGGAAGUAACUUAAUGAAAACCUACAGUUCGUCCAACAGAAUCAGCAGAAAACCCACCGUUCCUGGCAGGAGUUUCCAACGGGAAAACAUUGAGGACCUGGAGGAUCUCACCUAAAUCACUGCUGGGCCCAGGUAAUUACCCCUAGGAAGGAGCUGUGAUGGUUUGAAAACAUCUGUUUCUUUUUGGAAUAUGUGUACAUCUGCCCUUAAACAAGGUGAAAACUUGGUGUGAUAACUCUGAGGACUGAAUUUCUGCACUGCUAUGUUCUCUGCAAUUAGAUAACAGCUUAAAAUGUGAUUAGUGCGUUAUUUUUACCUCUCAGAACACACAGACACAACAAAACUCUCCGUUGAGAGCUGAUUUGAUGCCAGCUAAAUAUCCAGGUGGUACUCAGAAGGCACUGAUAAAUUCCUGAAACAUCUUGUGCAGAGUGAGAAUUUCCAUGUUUCUGAACUAUUAUUUCCCUCCCAUUCCCAGUGGGGCUCUUCACUGUCGCUUUAUCCGAAGUCCUUUAAGCUGUUACUCAGUUCAGUGUUUCCCUGGGAGGUUCUCUCAGGUAGAGGAAUCCCCUCAAUGUGCUGGUUAUGCUGGGAAAGAGAAAAUU